GACGAACGCUGGCGGCGUGCUUAACACAUGCAAGUCGAACGGAAAGGCCCUGCUUGCAGGGUACUCGAGUGGCGAACGGGUGAGUAACACGUGGGUGAUCUGCCCUGCACUUCGGGAUAAGCCUGGGAAACUGGGUCUAAUACCGGAUAUGACCUUCCAUGUAGUGUGGGGGGUGGAAAGAUUUAUCGGUGUGGGAUGAGCCCGCGGCCUAUCAGCUUGAUGGUGGGGUAAUGGCCUACCAAGGCGUCGACGGGUAGCCGGCCUGAGAGGGUGGACGGCCACAUUGGGACUGAGAUACGGCCCAGACUCCUACGGGAGGCAGCAGUGGGGAAUAUUGCACAAUGGGCGGAAGCCUUAUGCAGCGACGCCGCGUGGGGGAUGACGGCCUUCGGGUUGUAAACCUCUUUCGACAGGGACGAAGCUUCGGUGACGGUACCUGUAUAAGAAGCACCGGCUAACUACGUG
Molecule: ribosomal RNA, 465 nt
Filed under: uncultured bacterium
Lineage: Bacteria
Description: partial 16S ribosomal RNA
Rfam family: Bacterial small subunit ribosomal RNA
Source: RNAcentral